RNAcentral lists this long non-coding RNA (1131 nucleotides) under Canis lupus familiaris (dog). Its description in RNAcentral is "lncRNA (ENSCAFG00000059451.1)". The record is from RNAcentral. Lineage: Eukaryota; Metazoa; Chordata; Mammalia; Carnivora; Canidae.
GCGUACAUUUGUUCCUAUCUACAUAAGUUAUAAGUGAUUGCAUUAUACAUAUUGUGUAAUAACCAGCUCUUAUUUGCUUAACAUGUAGUCAAUAUUUUGUCCUAUUGAUGUUAAUAUUUACAGAUAAAUGGGUUUCUAUCUGAUUAUAUUUCAUCCACUGUUUUUAAAAGAGAUUUCUGAGAGACACAUACCUCCAGUAGCCAUGCUGACAGGUGGGGGUCAUGAUGCUAGAGCUGAGGACACAGGUGAACUCUGUGCAUUUUUUUUCUGAGCAGAGUAGAUAAUAACAACACUGGGUCUGGGCCUGAAUUUCUGCGUGUAAUUUGAGGAUUGCAGAAGGAGUUAGGCAUCUUUUGCUGAGACCCAUCUUCAGGUCAGGGGCCUAAUGAGAACACUGCACCAAGGGAGGGCAGAACAAAUCAUUUGAAUGGAAUGCAUUCCAAUCCAGAAUCUUCCUCUAGAGAACAUGUUAUUGAAUGUCUGACUCUCCUUAUUACUUGUGUGGGGGAAAACACGUACUGAACAAAAAAAUGCCACCAGAGACUAGACCUUGUCAAUGUUCUCUGAUGCCUAGUAGGACCACUGCAGAAAAAAAAAUAUUAAUGAGACUGUUGCCAGGAGACGGGAGAGCCAAAAGUCCAUGACAUUGUAGGGGUUCCACUGGAAAUCAAGGCAAUUUAACUGUGUUUUAGAUCAGAAGUUUUGCUACUAAAAUCAGUUCUGUGAUGAGCAUGUACUUUUUAGCAUGUGAUACUUAAAAUGAUUCUGUGUUUUUGGAGGAAUUGGAGGAUAAUCCCAAGGCAUUUCAUUUCUUUCCACAGAGCUAAUCCCUUCUUCAGAGCACAGCUCAUUUUCAAGUGGCUGCUGCCGCUUUCCCGCCCCCCCUUCAGUGCGACAGCCUCAGAGCUGGUGGAGAAGCAGAGCGCUUGCAGCUGGAGAUUGGACAAUUCAGAGAGCCCUGGAGGAGGGGGAGAGGGCUUCGUUUCCAGUGUGUACUUGCCACCUAGUGACCAUAGUGAAAUGUGUGGCUUCCUACCUUGUGUUAUGUUACAUUGCCCUUCCCUGGAAAACGAAGUUCCUGGAAAUCAAGAUGGUGAUACUUGUGCUUCUCAGCUCAGCCUGGUAGCCUGA